Molecule: long non-coding RNA, 395 nt
Organism: Coregonus clupeaformis (lake whitefish)
Lineage: Eukaryota; Metazoa; Chordata; Actinopteri; Salmoniformes; Salmonidae
Exons: 4
Source: RefSeq, a predicted model, not a curated record
CAGGCUCUAGUUAGUUUAAAUGAUGAGGGGAUGGUAAGACAGGUGAACAAAUUGGCGGCCUUUAUUAAACCCUCCUCGCCUAACCAACAGACCCUGGCAAAGGUCCUGCAAAGAGUGGCGGGACUAGCUUCAGACUUACCCCAAUAACCAGGAAGAGCACGGGGAUACCGAAUCCCCAAACUCAGCGACCAAGAAACAAUUUGGCCGAGCCUAAAGUCCCAGCCUUGACCCUUCCAGGUUCACAGCAAGAGGACCAUCAGGGUAAGGUAGCAAUGGCAAAUGGAAAAGACACGGGCCCUGGGACAGAACCAAUACUGGAACCUGUAGAAAAGGAGAAACUUUUUUAUCCCACAUGUCAUUCUAGAACUGAAAGGAAAAUAAAUGAUUGGAGUAUU